AGGACGAACGCUGGCGGCGUGCUUAACACAUGCAAGUCGAGCGGGAAAGGCCCUUCGGGGUACUCGAGCGGCGAACGGGUGAGUAACACGUGAGUAACCUGCCCCUAGCUCUGGGAUAGCUCCGGGAAACCGGGAUUAAUACCAGAUACGACCGACUUUAGACAUCUGUCGUGGUGGAAAGGAUUCCGGCUAGGGAUGGGCUCGCGGCCUAGUCAGCUUGUUGGUGGGGUAACGCCUACCAAGGCGACGACGGGUA
Molecule: ribosomal RNA, 256 nt
Filed under: uncultured bacterium
Lineage: Bacteria
Description: partial small subunit ribosomal RNA
Rfam family: Bacterial small subunit ribosomal RNA
Source: RNAcentral